CCUACGGGAGGCAGCAGUAAGGAAUCUUCCACAAUGGACGAAAGUCUGAUGGAGCAACGCCGCGUGCAGGAUGAAGGCUUUCGGGUCGUAAACUGCUUUUAUAUGGGAAGAUUAUGACGGUACCAUAUGAAUAAGGACCGGCUAACUACGUGCCAGCAGCCGCGGUAAUACGUAGGGUCCAAGCGAUAUCCGGAAUUACUGGGCGUAAAGCGUGUGUAGGUGGAUUAAUAAGUGUGAUGCGAAAUCCGGCGGCUCAAACCGUUUGGACUGUGUCGCAUACUGUUAGUCUAGAGGACGGCAGAGGUAAGUGGAAUUACGGGUGUAGCAGUGAAAUGCGUAGAUAUCCGUAGGAACACCAAUGGCGAAGGCAGCUUACUGGGCCACACCUGACACUGAGACACGAAAAGCGUGGGGAGCGAACAGGAUUAGAUACCCUGGUAGUCCACGCCGUAAACGAUGCAUACUAUUAGUAUGGGGUAUCGACCCCCUGUGCUGAGAAGCUAAACGCGAUAAGUAAUGCCGCCGNGGGAGGAGAGCGCAGACUAAACUAACAAANAAGUAAGUAGAGCGUGAGACGAGCGACGACGACGACGAGGGAGGAGG
Molecule: ribosomal RNA, 603 nt
Filed under: uncultured bacterium
Lineage: Bacteria
Description: bacterial SSU rRNA
Rfam family: Bacterial small subunit ribosomal RNA (bases 1-524)
Source: RNAcentral